AACCCUAAAAAAUUUGAGACACCAAACUGCAAAAGAGCAAAAGCCGCCGUAAGCGUCGUCUCAGAUGUCUUCUUCUUCUCUUCGUCAGUUCUUGUCCUAUCUGCAGAAGUCGCCACAAGCAUCUUCUCAGACGUCUUCUUAUUCUUCUCUUCUUCAGCUCUUCUCCUACUUGCAGAAGCCGCUAUAGACGAGGCUCUCCCUUUGCUCUGCGGCAGAGGAUUAGCGAUUCGAUGGUUUUUCUUAUUUGCUUUAUGCUCCAAACAUGCACCUAUAUACAAAUCUUCUGCGCUUCUCUGUUUCUUGUAGUGACUGAUAUGAACAGAUGAUGGUACAUAUGCGCUGAAGAAAGUCUUCUUUCACACCACUGAUCAGUUAGAGUUGGUAAGGGAGGAGAUUCGUGUAAUUGCAGCUAAGAUUAGCUAAUUGAUCUUAAUUCCUCACUAACAAAACAAGAUGUCCCUAUUCAAUAUUUUACUCCUAUUAUAUAAUCAUGUAGUUAUGUAGUUAAAACCUUGCCCUUUCAAUGCC
Molecule: long non-coding RNA, 528 nt
Organism: Macadamia integrifolia
Lineage: Eukaryota; Viridiplantae; Streptophyta; Magnoliopsida; Proteales; Proteaceae
Exons: 2
Source: RefSeq, a predicted model, not a curated record